RNAcentral lists this ribosomal RNA (484 nucleotides) under uncultured bacterium. RNAcentral's name for it is "partial 16S ribosomal RNA". It matches the Rfam family "Bacterial small subunit ribosomal RNA", at positions 30 to 507 of the family's 1533-position model. The record is from RNAcentral.
AUUGAACGCUGGCGGCAGGCCUAACACAUGCAAGUCGAGCGGAUGAAGGGAGCUUGCUCCUGGAUUCAGCGGCGGACGGGUGAGUAAUGCCUAGGAAUCUGCCUGGUAGUGGGGGAUAACGUCCGGAAACGGGCGCUAAUACCGCAUACGGCCUGAGGGAGAAAGUGGGGGAUCUUCGGACCUCUCGCUAGCAGAUGAGCCUAGGUCGGAUUAGCUAGUUGGUGGGGUAAAGGCCUACCAAGGCGACGAUCCGUAACUGGUCUGAGAGGAUGAUCAGUCACACUGGAACUGAGACACGGUCCAGACUCCUACGGGAGGCAGCAGUGGGGAAUAUUGGACAAUGGGCGAAAGCCUGAUCCAGCCAUGCCGCGUGUGUGAAGAAGGUCUUCGGAUUGUAAAGCACUUUAAGUUGGGAGGAAGGGCAGUAAGUUAAUACCUUGCUGUUUUGACGUUACCAACAGAAUAAGCACCGGCUAACUUCGUG